Molecule: transfer RNA, 71 nt
Filed under: Marmota monax (woodchuck)
Lineage: Eukaryota; Metazoa; Chordata; Mammalia; Rodentia; Sciuridae
Description: tRNA.Ala
Source: RNAcentral
GAGGUUGUGGCUCAGUAGUAGAGCACUCAACUAGCACAGGUGAGGCACUGGGAUCAAUUCCCAGCACCACA